ACUACGGGCGGCAGCAGUGGGGAAUAUUGCACAAUGGGGGAAACCCUGAUGCAGCGACGCCGCGUGAGUGAGGAAGGAUUUCGGGAUGUAAAGCUCUAUCAGCAGGGAAGAAAAUGACGGUACCUGACUAAGAAGCCCCGGCUAACUACGUGCCAGCAGCCGCGGUAAGACGUAGGGGGCAAGCGUUAUCCGGAUUUACUGGGUGUAAAGGGAGCGUAGACGGCUAAUCAAGUCAGAAGUGAAAACCAAGGGCUCAACUUUGGGACUGCUUUUGAAACUGAGUAGCUAGAGUGCAGGAGAGGUAAGCGUAAUUCCUAGUGUAGCGGUGAAAUGCGUAGAUAUUAGGAGGAACCCCAGUGGCGAAGGCGGCUUACUGGACUGUACCUGACGUUGCGGCUCGAAAGCGUGGGGAGCAAACAGGAUUCGAUACCCCAGUAGUC
This 440-nucleotide ribosomal RNA is filed under the name uncultured bacterium. Its description in RNAcentral is "partial 16S ribosomal RNA". It matches the Rfam family "Bacterial small subunit ribosomal RNA", at positions 338 to 795 of the family's 1533-position model. The record is from RNAcentral.